UGAGGGAUACUGGACAAUGGGCGCAAGCCUGGUCUAGCCAUGCCGCGUGCAGGAAGAAGCAUCUAUGGUGUGUAAACUGCUUUUGUACGGGAAGAAACACACCUUCGUGAAGGAGCUUGACGGUACCGUAAGAAUAAGGAUCGGCUAACUCCGUGCCAGCAGCCGCGGUAAUACGGAGGAUCCAAGCGUUAUCCGGAAUCAUUGGGUUUAAAGGGUCCGUAGGCGGUUAAGUAAGUCAGUGGUGAAAGCCCAUCGCUCAACGAUGGAACGGCCAUUGAUACUGAGAGACUUGAAUUAUUAGGAAGUAACUAGAAUAUGUAGUGUAGCGGUGAAAUGCUUAGAUAUUACAUGGAAUACCAAUUGCGAAGGCAGGUUACUACUAAUGGAUUGACGCUGAUGGACGAAAGCGUGGGGAGCGAACA
RNAcentral lists this ribosomal RNA (422 nucleotides) under uncultured bacterium. RNAcentral describes it as "bacterial SSU rRNA". It matches the Rfam family "Bacterial small subunit ribosomal RNA", at positions 355 to 774 of the family's 1533-position model. The record is from RNAcentral.